This 76-nucleotide transfer RNA is filed under the name Alphaproteobacteria bacterium. RNAcentral's name for it is "tRNA-Lys". It matches the Rfam family "tRNA". Rfam says of the family: Transfer RNA (tRNA) molecules are approximately 80 nucleotides in length. Their secondary structure includes four short double-helical elements and three loops (D, anti-codon, and T loops). The record is from RNAcentral. RNAcentral also lists the same sequence under 2 other names. Lineage: Bacteria; Pseudomonadati; Pseudomonadota; Alphaproteobacteria.
GGGCGAUUAGCUCAGUUGGUAGAGCAGCUGACUCUUAAUCAGCGGGUCGAGGGUUCGAGUCCCUCAUCGCCCCCCA